RNAcentral lists this ribosomal RNA (557 nucleotides) under Trichoderma harzianum. Its description in RNAcentral is "eukaryotic LSU rRNA". The stretch from base 167 to 320 matches the Rfam family "5.8S ribosomal RNA". The record is from RNAcentral. Lineage: Eukaryota; Fungi; Ascomycota; Sordariomycetes; Hypocreales; Hypocreaceae.
CCAAACUGUUGCCUCGGCGGGAUCUCUGCCCCGGGUGCGUCGCAGCCCCGGACCAAGGCGCCCGCCGGAGGACCAACCAAAACUCUUUUUGUAUACCCCCUCGCGGGUUUUUUUUAUAAUCUGAGCCUUCUCGGCGCCUCUCGUAGGCGUUUCGAAAAUGAAUCAAAACUUUCAACAACGGAUCUCUUGGUUCUGGCAUCGAUGAAGAACGCAGCGAAAUGCGAUAAGUAAUGUGAAUUGCAGAAUUCAGUGAAUCAUCGAAUCUUUGAACGCACAUUGCGCCCGCCAGUAUUCUGGCGGGCAUGCCUGUCCGAGCGUCAUUUCAACCCUCGAACCCCUCCGGGGGGUCGGCGUUGGGGAUCGGCCCUGCCUCUUGGCGGUGGCCGUCUCCGAAAUACAGUGGCGGUCUCGCCGCAGCCUCUCCUGCGCAGUAGUUUGCACACUCGCAUCGGGAGCGCGGCGCGUCCACAGCCGUUAAACACCCAACUUCUGAAAUGUUGACCUCGGAUCAGGUAGGAAUACCCGCUGAACUUAAGCAUAUCAAUAAGCCGGAGGAA